RNAcentral lists this ribosomal RNA (441 nucleotides) under uncultured bacterium. RNAcentral describes it as "bacterial SSU rRNA". It matches the Rfam family "Bacterial small subunit ribosomal RNA", at positions 338 to 795 of the family's 1533-position model. The record is from RNAcentral.
CCUACGGGUGGCUGCAGUGAGGAAUUUUCGGCAAUGGGCGCAAGCCUGACCGAGCAACGCCGCGUGCAGGAUGAAGGUCUUCGGAUCGUAAACUGCUUUUCUCGGGGACGAGCAAGGACGGUACCCGAGGAAUCAGCCCCGGCUAACUACGUGCCAGCAGCCGCGGUAAUACGUAGGGGGCGAGCGUUGUCCGGAUUUAUUGGGCGUAAAGCGCACGCAGGCGGUCUUUCAAGUUCGGAGUGACAGUUGUCGGCUUAACCGAGAAAGUGCUUUGAAGACUGAAAGACUUGAGGGCUCAAGAGGGACACGGAAUUCCGGGUGUAGUGGUGAAAUGCGUAGAUAUCCGGAGGAACACCAAAUGCGAAGGCAGUGUCCUGGGGAGUACCUGACGCUCAGGUGCGAAAGCUAGGGGAGCGAACGGGAUUAGAUACCCCGGUAGUC